This 242-nucleotide unclassified non-coding RNA is filed under the name Hevea brasiliensis (rubber tree). The record is from RNAcentral. Lineage: Eukaryota; Viridiplantae; Streptophyta; Magnoliopsida; Malpighiales; Euphorbiaceae.
CCCUUUGGUAAGGCCCGAUACAUCGGUGACGGAGACUAGGGCUUUCUUGGCUGCGUAGGUGAUUAGGGUUUGGAAAUUAUCACCUGCUGGCCGUUCAAGAGUCUGAGAGCGUCUAGCAAUCUCCUUAGCAACUAAAGAGAGGCCGCUAAUGAGCCUCCCUAGGUGCUUAAAAGAGCUCAUAGCUUCGCGCGCCCGGUAACUCGCAACUAUAGUGGAAGUGAUUUUGGAAAUCGAUUUUUUUU